CGCAGACAGUGUGUUGGAGAGGUACUUGCAAAGUGAUCCUGCUCAUAGAGCUGUAUUUACAUCUAAAAAGGACUUUCAAGCCUAUCGUGAAGGCGGAAUAGCGCAGUUGCAAUUCAAGCUUACACCCCUCAUGUUUUAUACUCUAUUCUUCUUAGAGACAUACGCGCAGGCCCGGUCUGAACUUCAGUCCAACCUCUACGCCGUAUACAAGGCUGGCCGACUUCCUGUCACCAUUCAACCCGCCGACCGCACCAUAAUGUUCCGCAAACUUCAGGCUAAAAUCGUCAGUAGUCCUCCAUUUACCAACACCCGAACACUCGUGUCGACCCACCAUUGCAUCCACCUUCUCGUCUCCUAUCUGCAACUCACACUCUCCUCCGAGCCGCCAUUCCCCACGUCUUGCGAUCUGUGGAUUAGCAUGCUGCUCACCACAUCCGGGCUAGGCCGGAUUGCCGAAUUUUUCGCCGCUGAGAAGGGAGGGGGUAAUAACCAGCGCAGCAUACGGAGGGAGUUCAUGCGGAAUAUGCAAGCCGAUUUAGAUGCGAUUAGGAACGAUGAGCGGGCCUCUAAAGUAUAUGGGAGCGGGGAAGAAAGUAGGAGGCCGCCCCGCCUACGGGAAAUUUGGUUUG
Molecule: small RNA, 629 nt
Filed under: Histoplasma ohiense
Lineage: Eukaryota; Fungi; Ascomycota; Eurotiomycetes; Onygenales; Ajellomycetaceae
Description: hypothetical lncRNA
Source: RNAcentral